AGAGUUUGAUCCUGGCUCAGAUUGAACGCUGGCGGAAUGCUUUACACAUGCAAGUCGAACGGUAGAGGGGGCAACCCCUUGAGAGUGGCGAACGGGUGAGUAAUAUAUCGGAACGUGUCCAAUAAUGGGGGAUAACGAGUCGAAAGAUUCGCUAAUACCGCAUACGCCCUACGGGGGAAAGCAGGGGAUCGUAAGACCUUGCGUUAAUGGAGCGGCCGAUAUCUGAUUAGCUUGUUGGUGAGGUAAAGGCUCACCAAGGCGACGAUCAGUAGCUGGUUUGAGAGAACGACCAGCCACACUGGAACUGAGACACGGUCCAGACUCCUACGGGAGGCAGCAGUGGGGAAUUUUGGACAAUGGGGGCAACCCUGAUCCAGCCAUUCCGCGUGAGUGAAGAAGGCCUUCGGGUUGUAAAGCUCUUUCGCAAGGGAAGAAAACUUAUGAUCGAAUAAAUCAUGAGGUUGACGGUACCUUGAUAAGAAGCACCGGCUAACUACGUGCCAGCAGCCGCGGUAAUACGUAGGGUGCGAGCGUUAAUCGGAAUUACUGGGCGUAAAGCGUGCGCAGGCGGUUUUGUAAGUCGGAUGUGAAAUCCCCGGGCUCAACCUGGGAACUGCGUUCGAAACUGCAAGGCUAGAGUGUGUCAGAGGGGGGUGGAAUUCCUAGUGUAGCGGUGAAAUGCGCAGAUAUUAGGAGGAACACCGGUGGCGAAGGCGCCACUCUGGAUCGACACUGACGCUGAGGAACGAAAGCAUGGGUAGCAAACAGGAUUAGAUACCCUGGUAGUCCAUGCGGUAAACGGUGGGCACUAGGUGUGGGUUUCUAUUAACGAAAUCCGCGCCGUCGCUAACGCAUUAAGUGCCCCGCCUGGGGAGUACGGUCGCAAGACUAAAACUCAAAGGAAUUGACGGGGGCCCGCACAAGCAGCGGAGCGUGUUGCUUAAUUCGAUGCUACGCGAAGAACCUUACCUAGGUUUGACAUGUUUGGAAAAGCAACAGAGAUGUUGUGUCCGCAAGGGCCAAACACAGGUGGUGCAUGGCUGUCGUCAGCUCGUGUCGUGAGAUGUUGGGUUAAGUCCCGCAACGAGCGCAACCCUUAUCCAAUGUUGCCAGCAAGUUAUGUUGGGGACUCAUUGGAGACUGCCGGGGUUAACUCGGAGGAAGGUGGGGAUGACGUCAAGUCCUCAUGCCCCUUAUGUCUAGGGCUGCAAACACGCUACAAUGGCCGAUACAAAGGGUUGCCUGCUCGCGAGAGUUAGCUAAUCCCGUAAAGUCGGUCUCAGUUCGAAUUGAAGUCUGCAACUCGACUUCAUGAAGCUGGAGUUGCUAGUAAUCCCGGAUCAGCACGCCGGGGUGAAUACGUUCCCGGGCCUUGUACACACCGCCCGUCACACCACGAAAGUCGGCAACACCCAAAGCCGGUGGCCUAACCGCAAGGAAGGGGCCGUCUAAGGUGGGGUCGGUGAUUGGGGUGAAGUCGUAACAAGGUAACC
RNAcentral lists this ribosomal RNA (1493 nucleotides) under uncultured bacterium. RNAcentral describes it as "partial 16S ribosomal RNA". It matches the Rfam family "Bacterial small subunit ribosomal RNA". The record is from RNAcentral.